GACGAACGCUGGCGGCGUGCUUAACACAUGCAAGUCGAACGGUCAACCUCUUCGGAGGGGAUCAGUGGCGUACGGGUGAGUAACACGUGGGCAACCUGCCCCCGGCUCUGUGAUAACUCCAAAAAAUUGGGGCUAAUACCCGAUGUUCACCGCUUCCCUCAUGGGGGGUGGUGGAAAGGGUUUCCGGCUGGGGCUGGGCCCGCGGCCGUUCAGCUGGUUGGGGGGGUAGUGGCCUACCAAGGCGACGACGGGUAGCCGACCUGAGAGGGUGACCGGCCACACUGGGACUGAGGCACGGCCCAGACUCCUACGGGAGGCAGCAGUGGGGAAUAUUGCGCAAUGGGCGGAAGCCUGACGCAGCGACGCCGCGUGGGGGAUGACGGCCUUCGGGUUGUAAACCUCUUUCAGCAGGGACGAAGCGCAAGUGACGGUACCUGCAGAAGAAGCACCGGCCAACUACGUG
Molecule: ribosomal RNA, 463 nt
Filed under: uncultured bacterium
Lineage: Bacteria
Description: partial 16S ribosomal RNA
Rfam family: Bacterial small subunit ribosomal RNA
Source: RNAcentral